AGGAAAAGAAACUAACAAGGAUUCCCCUAGUAACGGCGAGUGAAGCGGGAAGAGCUCAAAUUUGUAAUCUGGCACUUUCAGUGUCCGAGUUGUAAUCUCGAGAAGUGUUUUCCGCGCCGGACCGCAUACAAGUCUGUUGGAAUACAGCGUCAUAGUGGUGAGAACCCCGUAACUGAUGCGGAUGCCCGGUGCUUUGUGAUACACUUUCGAAGAGUCGAGUUGUUUGGGAAUGCAGCUCAAAUUGGGUGGUAAAUUCCAUCUAAAGCUAAAUAUUGGCGAGAGACCGAUAGCGAACAAGUACCGUGAGGGAAAGAUGAAAAGCACUUUGGAAAGAGAGUUAACAGUACGUGAAAUUGUUGGAAGGGAAACGCUUGAGGUCAGACUUGCUAUUUGGAAUUCAGCCGCAAGGUGUACUUUUCAAUUCGCAGGCCAGCAUCAGUUUUCGGGGGUGGAAAAGGGUAGAGAGAAGGUAGCUGUUUCGGCAGUGUUAUAGCUCUUUACUGGAUUCAU
RNAcentral lists this ribosomal RNA (510 nucleotides) under Phenoliferia glacialis. RNAcentral describes it as "partial large subunit ribosomal RNA". It matches the Rfam family "Eukaryotic large subunit ribosomal RNA", at positions 54 to 576 of the family's 3401-position model. The record is from RNAcentral. Lineage: Eukaryota; Fungi; Basidiomycota; Microbotryomycetes; Kriegeriales; Kriegeriaceae.